GGCAGUUCUCGGGUGAUGCACCCCGGAAUUGGGCUCCCUCCUCUCUGGUUCUGGGUGUGUCACUCAAGAACUGCA
Molecule: non-coding RNA, 75 nt
Organism: Myotis lucifugus (little brown bat)
Lineage: Eukaryota; Metazoa; Chordata; Mammalia; Chiroptera; Vespertilionidae
Source: Rfam